Long non-coding RNA from Rhipicephalus microplus (southern cattle tick), 951 nucleotides. NCBI's taxonomy places the organism in Eukaryota, Metazoa, Arthropoda, Arachnida, Ixodida, Ixodidae. The record is from RefSeq and is a predicted model, not a curated record.
GGCCCUUACCUCCAAGUAAAAAAGUUACGUGCAGUGAAUGGCUUCGUGGAAAGCCGUGCUACCGCUUCUGGUUUGCAUAUUACCCUGAUAUUUACGGAUUUUUCUGGCCCUACAUGUUCUACACUGGAUGCCGAGAAUGGAAGAAUAAACUUUAUGUUUACGAUCCACGGGUAAAGACCUGUCAAGAAAUACCGAGUUGUUUGUCAUGCGAAGGUGUAUGAGCACAUGCGUGUCUGUUCCAUGGAGGUCUCUAAUACUUCAACGCCAUAACUUCAAGCACAGUACGUUUGUACAUCAAUAAAUCACGUGACAGCAGGUAUAACGUGACAGGAGAAUGCACAAGACCGGAUUGAUUGGUGAAUCGAUGAAGAAGCCGUUGCCCUGCACUGAGCGUAGUCAGGCUGCUGCUGAUUACGAUGUAUGUGAGGUACAUUCUCAAAUAAGGAAUAGUACUUUACCCCUAUCCAUCAAGGGCAACGUAUAUAACAGAUGUUAUUUACUGCCAUAAAAAGAUAUUCUUUUGAAACGUAUAAAAUUAUGUUCAGAAUUGAGCUUCUCAGCGAAAAAAACUGCAUCCCAUCUUGCACUUACUUGUGCAGGACGGGACUGUCUUUUGGCCACUCAUUGUUCCGAAUGAGGGUGCUAGUCAUUGUUUGAAAAGGCAAGUGUUCUCGCGUCCCACACGAACGAAGGCACAAGACUUGUAAUCUAAGCCACAGCAGUCGCUCGAGGCGGCUGCAUCAGUGAAGCACCAACAUCUUUAUCGGCAAAGGAUUGGCGUGUUUAAAUCGGCACAUGAGGGUCUGGGAUGAGCACGUGGUUUUUUGCAGUCUCUUUUGAUUUUGUUGUUGUGUGUUUUUUGUUUUCUCCUUAAGCAAGUGAUGUUAUCUUCUUUCUUUUUUGUACCAUAUAUAUGUGCGCCUUAGUAGUAAUAAAUAAGUUGAAAGUCUG